GACGAACGCUGGCGGCGUGCUUAACACAUGCAAGUCGAACGGAAAGGCCCUGCUUUUGUGGGGUGCUCGAGUGGCGAACGGGUGAGUAACACGUGAGUAACCUGCCCUUGACUUUGGGAUAACUUCAGGAAACUGGGGCUAAUACCGGAUAGGAGCUCCUGCUGCAUGGUGGGGGUUGGAAAGUUUCGGCGGUUGGGGAUGGACUCGCGGCUUAUCAGCUUGUUGGUGGGGUAGUGGCUUACCAAGGCUUUGACGGGUAGCCGGCCUGAGAGGGUGACCGGCGAGAUUGGGACUGAGAUACGGCCCAGACUCCUACGGGAGGCAGCAGUGGGGAAUAUUGUACAAUGGGCGGAAGCCUGAUGCAGCAACGCCGCGUGCGGGAUGACGGCCUUCGGGUUGUAAACCGCUUUCGCCUGUGACGAAGCGUGAGUGACGGUAAUGGGUAGAGAAGCACCGGCUAACUACGUG
RNAcentral lists this ribosomal RNA (468 nucleotides) under uncultured bacterium. RNAcentral's name for it is "partial 16S ribosomal RNA". It matches the Rfam family "Bacterial small subunit ribosomal RNA", at positions 28 to 507 of the family's 1533-position model. The record is from RNAcentral.